GGCCCCGUAGCUCAGCAGGUUAGAGCGCCUGCCUCAUAAGCAGAGGGUCGCGGGUUCGAGUCCCGCCGGGGCCA
RNAcentral lists this transfer RNA (74 nucleotides) under Alphaproteobacteria bacterium. RNAcentral describes it as "tRNA-Met". It matches the Rfam family "tRNA". Rfam says of the family: Transfer RNA (tRNA) molecules are approximately 80 nucleotides in length. Lineage: Bacteria; Pseudomonadati; Pseudomonadota; Alphaproteobacteria. The record is from RNAcentral.